CGAACGUUAGCGGCGGGCCUAACACAUGCAAGUCGAACGAGAAAAUCCCUUCGGGGGUGAGUACAGUGGCGCACGGGUGAGGAACGCGUAGGUAAUCCACCCUCUGGCGGGGGACAACAUUCCGAAAGGAAUGCUAAUACCGCGUAAGACCACGCUCACUACGGUGAAAGUGGUUAAAGGUGCCUCAAAGCACCACCAGAGGACGAGCCUGCGUCCCAUCAGCUUGUUGGUAAGGUAACGGCUUACCAAGGCGAAGACGGGUAGCUGGUCUGAGAGGAUGAUCAGCCACACUGGCACUGGAACACGGGCCAGACUCCUACGGGAGGCAGCAGUGAGGAAUAUUGGGCAAUGGGCGCAAGCCUGACCCAGCCACGCCGCGUGUGUGAUGAAGGCCUUCGGGUCGUAAAGCACUGUGGGGAGAGACGAAACAGCGCAUCAGGAAAUGGGUGCGCCUUGACGGUACCUCCUUAGCAAGCACCGGCUAACUCU
This 489-nucleotide ribosomal RNA is filed under the name uncultured bacterium. RNAcentral describes it as "bacterial SSU rRNA". It matches the Rfam family "Bacterial small subunit ribosomal RNA", at positions 30 to 504 of the family's 1533-position model. The record is from RNAcentral.